This 338-nucleotide long non-coding RNA is filed under the name Gossypium barbadense (sea-island cotton). RNAcentral describes it as "long non-coding RNA (GBAR_LNC020605)". Lineage: Eukaryota; Viridiplantae; Streptophyta; Magnoliopsida; Malvales; Malvaceae. The record is from RNAcentral.
UCCGACGUAUCGUUGUUCGAAUACUCUGGGCUGAAAAUACCCAUUUCAAAGGUACCAUUUUCGGAUUCAAGUGUUUCACCGUCGUCUUUAAUGAAAUCAUCUGGAGUGAUGAUUUUCAGUGUUGAGGUUUUCAAAAUGAAGAAGAAAAAGAGAGUCGAUCACCAAAGAAUCUCUAUUAAUAAGAAGCUUUUACAUUAAUAGAAGUUACUGAUAUGAGAGUGUUGCCAUACCUUGAAAAUUUGCAAUUGCCUUGCUGCAAAACGACGAUGGUGCCUUGCUGCCUUACUGAUAUAAGAGAGGCUUUGAAAACAAUGGUGGUGCUUGCUGCCUUGCUCUCG